CGUUGAAACACUGAUUUUUGUACGAUCACCGAAGUUAAGCAAAGUCGAGACUGGUCAGUUACCUAGAUGGGUGACCGCUUGGGAAUACCAGGUGCUGUAAG
Molecule: ribosomal RNA, 101 nt
Filed under: Acanthosepion pharaonis
Lineage: Eukaryota; Metazoa; Mollusca; Cephalopoda; Sepiida; Sepiidae
Source: RNAcentral